ACUCCUACGGGAGGCAGCAGUGGGGAAUAUUGGACAAUGGGCGCAAGCCUGAUCCAGCCAUGCCGCGUGAGUGAUGAAGGCCCUAGGGUUGUAAAGCUCUUUCACCGGUGAAGAUAAUGACGGUAACCGGAGAAGCAGCCCCGGCUAACUUCGUGCCAGCAGCCGCGGUAAUACGAAGGGGGCUAGCGUUGUUCGGAUUUACUGGGCGUAAAGCGCACGUAGGCGGACUAUUAAGUCAGGGGUGAAAUCCCGGGGCGCAACCCCGGAACUGCCUUUGAUGCUGGUAGUCUUGAGUUCGAGAGAGGUGAGUGGAAGUCCGAGUGUAGAGGUGAGAUUCGUAGAUAUUCGGAGGAACACCAGUGGCGAAGGCGGCUCACUGGCUCGAUACUGACGCUGAGGUGCGAAAGCGGGGGGAGCAAACAGGAUUAGAAACCCGUGUAGUCCCAUGA
This 449-nucleotide ribosomal RNA is filed under the name uncultured organism. Its description in RNAcentral is "partial 16S ribosomal RNA". It matches the Rfam family "Bacterial small subunit ribosomal RNA", at positions 335 to 804 of the family's 1533-position model. The record is from RNAcentral.